GGGUUGUGAGGUUAAGCGACUAAGCGUACACGGUGGAUGCCCUGGCAGUCAGAGGCGAUGAAGGACGUGCUAAUCUGCGAUAAGCGUCGGUGAGGUGAUAUGAACCGUUAUAACCGGCGAUUUCCGAAUGGGGAAACCCAGUGUGUUUCGACACACUAUCAUUAACUGAAUCCAUAGGUUAAUGAGGCGAACCGGGGGAACUGAAACAUCUAAGUACCCCGAGGAAAAGAAAUCAACCGAGAUUCCCCCAGUAGCGGCGAGCGAACGGGGAGGAGCCCAGAGCCUGAAUCAGUGUGUGUGUUAGUGGAAGCGUCUGGAAAGGCGUGCGAUACAGGGUGACAGCCCCGUACACAAAAAUGCACAUAUUGUGAGCUCGAUGAGUAGGGCGGGACACGUGGUAUCCUGUCUGAAUAUGGGGGGACCAUCCUCCAAGGCUAAAUACUCCUGACUGACCGAUAGUGAACCAGUACCGUGAGGGAAAGGCGAAAAGAACCCCGGCGAGGGGAGUGAAAAAGAACCUGAAACCGUGUACGUACAAGCAGUGGGAGCCUCUUAAUGGGGUGACUGCGUACCUUUUGUAUAAUGGGUCAGCGACUUAUAUUCUGUAGCAAGGUUAACCGAAUAGGGGAGCCGAAGGGAAACCGAGUCUUAACUGGGCGUUAAGUUGCAGGGUAUAGACCCGAAACCCGGUGAUCUAGCCAUGGGCAGGUUGAAGGUUGGGUAACACUAACUGGAGGACCGAACCGACUAAUGUUGAAAAAUUAGCGGAUGACUUGUGGCUGGGGGUGAAAGGCCAAUCAAACCGGGAGAUAGCUGGUUCUCCCCGAAAGCUAUUUAGGUAGCGCCUCGUGAAUUCAUCUCCGGGGGUAGAGCACUGUUUCGGCAAGGGGGUCAUCCCGACUUACCAACCCGAUGCAAACUGCGAAUACCGGAGAAUGUUAUCACGGGAGACACACGGCGGGUGCUAACGUCCGUCGUGAAGAGGGAAACAACCCAGACCGCCAGCUAAGGUCCCAAAGUCAUGGUUAAGUGGGAAACGAUGUGGGAAGGCCCAGACAGCCAGGAUGUUGGCUUAGAAGCAGCCAUCAUUUAAAGAAAGCGUAAUAGCUCACUGGUCGAGUCGGCCUGCGCGGAAGAUGUAACGGGGCUAAACCAUGCACCGAAGCUGCGGCAGCGACACUAUGUGUUGUUGGGUAGGGGAGCGUUCUGUAAGCCUGUGAAGGUGGCCUGUGAGGGUUGCUGGAGGUAUCAGAAGUGCGAAUGCUGACAUAAGUAA
This 1276-nucleotide ribosomal RNA is filed under the name Escherichia coli. RNAcentral's name for it is "partial 23S ribosomal RNA". It matches the Rfam family "Bacterial large subunit ribosomal RNA", at positions 1 to 1309 of the family's 2925-position model. The record is from RNAcentral. Lineage: Bacteria; Pseudomonadati; Pseudomonadota; Gammaproteobacteria; Enterobacterales; Enterobacteriaceae.